RNAcentral lists this ribosomal RNA (510 nucleotides) under uncultured bacterium. RNAcentral's name for it is "partial 16S ribosomal RNA". It matches the Rfam family "Bacterial small subunit ribosomal RNA", at positions 355 to 851 of the family's 1533-position model. The record is from RNAcentral.
UGGGGAAUAUUGCACAAUGGGCGCAAGCCUGAUGCAGCCAUGCCGCGUGUGUGAAGAAGGCCUUCGGGUUGUAAAGCACUUUCAGCGAGGAGGAAGGUGGUGAGCUUAAUACGCUCAUCAAUUGACGUUACUCGCAGAAGAAGCACCGGCUAACUCCGUGCCAGCAGCCGCGGUAAUACGGAGGGUGCAAGCGUUAAUCGGAAUUACUGGGCGUAAAGCGCACGCAGGCGGUUUGUUAAGUCAGAUGUGAAAUCCCCGGGCUCAACCUGGGAACUGCAUUUGAAACUGGCAAGCUAGAGUCUCGUAGAGGGGGGUAGAAUUCCAGGUGUAGCGGUGAAAUGCGUAGAGAUCUGGAGGAAUACCGGUGGCGAAAGGCGGCCCCCUGGACGAAGACUGACGCUCAGGUGCGAAAGCGUGGGGGAGCAAAACAGGAUUAGAUACCCUGGUAGUCCACGCUGUAAAACGAUGUCGAUUUUGGAGGUUGUGCCCCUUGAGGCGUGGCUUCCGGAG